Molecule: non-coding RNA, 73 nt
Organism: Parelaphostrongylus tenuis
Lineage: Eukaryota; Metazoa; Nematoda; Chromadorea; Rhabditida; Metastrongylidae
Source: the annotation of a GenBank genome assembly
GCGUUGGAUGUGCAGUGGUUUAGCACGCGUCCCUGGAUAGGACGAAAUGUGGGUUCGAAUCCCAUCUGAUGCA